This 68-nucleotide transfer RNA is filed under the name Allocebus trichotus (hairy-eared dwarf lemur). Its description in RNAcentral is "tRNA-Thr". Lineage: Eukaryota; Metazoa; Chordata; Mammalia; Primates; Cheirogaleidae. The record is from RNAcentral.
GCCCUUGUAGUAUACUCAAUACCCUGGUCUUGUAAACCAGAAACGGAAAAUUACCACUCCCAAGGGCA